UUAAACUUUUCAUUAAAAUUUUAUAUUCCCUCCAACAUAUUUAACUCUCCCUCCAAUUUUUAAUUGGCAAAAAAGGUCAUAAAACAUAAAAACCUCUCAACACUCUGGUCUUUGCCCCAAAUCAGAAAAAUCUCUCAAGAUCGUAAGUAUCCUCUUUGCCCCAAUUAAGAAAUCUCUCAAGACCCACAAAUCAACAGGGGACAAGGAGGCUCCUUGGGCAGCUCAUUGUCUACAUGUUGACCAAAACUCUUCAGCCAAAACGUUUUCUAACUCUAGAAAAUUCUCCAAGAAGAGAGAGGCUCUCAUCUUCAUCAAAUGGAGAUAGAGGGAAGUGACAAGGGAGAGAGAGCUUCGGCCAUGGCAGCAACUCCAAGCUUGGUAAUUAUUCAAGUCAUGGUAGCAAAGAUGGGUCUUUAGGGCAGCAAAAAAGCCUAAAGUUUCAUUCCUCAAAUUUUAGCAAACUAAGGAGCUAAGUAUCAAGGUUCGAGCAUCAGUGACGAGCGUUGAUUCGAGUUUAGAGCAGUCUGAUACGGAGACGGGGGUGAGCACUUGGAGUUUUGUACUAUUCUGGUCUCCAUUUGUGUAUAUAGACUAGUCUUUUACUUUUUGAGAAAUGUCUUAUUUUUGUGGUCCACUUUUGGGGCUUGUACUCUUUUGUUUAAUCGGCUCUGUACUAGGGACUUUCAGGUUC
Solanum dulcamara is the source of this 691-nucleotide long non-coding RNA. RefSeq lists it as uncharacterized. The transcript has 3 exons. NCBI's taxonomy places the organism in Eukaryota, Viridiplantae, Streptophyta, Magnoliopsida, Solanales, Solanaceae. The record is from RefSeq and is a predicted model, not a curated record.